Molecule: ribosomal RNA, 822 nt
Filed under: Zoanthus aff. sociatus KBJ-2018
Lineage: Eukaryota; Metazoa; Cnidaria; Anthozoa; Zoantharia; Zoanthidae
Description: partial 16S ribosomal RNA
Rfam family: Bacterial large subunit ribosomal RNA
Source: RNAcentral
UGCCAGGAAAGAAUUAUUCAAGCCCUUCCCAGAAGGUAUCCUUCUGGCAAGGGUACUGUACUAAACUAACUAAAGUGGGGGAUAGUGAGGGGAUAAAUUUUCUUAAGGAACUCGGCAAAAUCCCAAUGGCCCACCAGGGCAUAUUGGAACACGGGCCUCGACUGUUUACCAAAAACAUAGCCCUCGGCUAAUAUGAAAAUAGAUGUAUAGAGGGUGAUGCCUGCCCAAUGGUUGUAUCUAAAAGCGGUUGAUAAAAGUUGACCUCGUAAGGACAAUUGAAUGGCCGCGGUAACACUGACCGUGAUAAUGUAGCGUAAUCAAUAGCCAAUUAAUUGUUGGCCAGUAUGAAUGGCGCCACGAAGGCCCCACUGUCUUAAGGAAAUUCCCAGUGAAAUUGAAUUCGUAGUGAAGAUGCUACGUCCAAUUUGUUAGACGAAAAGACCCCGUUGAGCUUUACUGGAGCACUUACAUGGCCCCGGCCUUCCCAUGCCUGGGAACCGGCCGAAUUUAAAUGGGCGGCUUAGAUUAUGUGGCAGCCCCCCGCUGGGGCAAAUGAAACACCACUCCCCCAUGUCAAAGGGGCUAACCCCCCCCCUUGGGGGGACAGUGUAAGUAGGACAGUUUGGUUGGGGCGACCACCUUUUAAAAAGUAACGAAGGUGCGCUUAAGGUGCGCAAUUAAUGACUGAAGCCUGACUGCGAGGGGGACACCCCGAGCAGACACCCCAAAGCCCGCCCGAAAUGYSGCGGUGGGGUGGGCCAUMGUGACCCGUUAAUUUAGAGUGGAAUAGUUAACGAUCAACGAAUAAAAGUUACCACGGGG